AGAAUCAACGCUGGCGGCGUGCCUAACACAUGCAAGUCGACCGGAGAAAGUGGAGCAAUCCAUGAGUAAAGUGGCGCACGGGUGAGUAACACGUGACUAACCUACCUUUUAGUGGGGGAUAACCUAGGGAAACCUGGGCUAAUACCGCAUAACACUUACGAGUCAAAGCAGCAAUGCGCUGAAAGAGGGGGUCGCGGCCGAUUAGCUAGUUGGCGGGGUAAUGGCCCACCAAGGCGAUGAUCGGUAUCCGGCCUGAGAGGGCGCUACGGGACACGACUGGGAACUGAACAC
Molecule: ribosomal RNA, 291 nt
Filed under: uncultured prokaryote
Description: partial 16S ribosomal RNA
Rfam family: Bacterial small subunit ribosomal RNA
Source: RNAcentral